Molecule: ribosomal RNA, 433 nt
Filed under: uncultured bacterium
Lineage: Bacteria
Description: partial 16S ribosomal RNA
Rfam family: Bacterial small subunit ribosomal RNA
Source: RNAcentral
AACGAACGCUGGCGGCAUGCCUAACACAUACAAGUCGAACGAGACCUUCGGGUCUAGUGGCGCACGGGUGCGUAACGCGUGGGAACCUGCCCUUAGGUUCGGAAUAACUCCCCGAAAGGGGUGCGAAUACCGGAUAAUGUCUUCGGACCAAAGAUUUAUAGCCUUUGGAUGGGCCCGCGUUGGAUUAGCUAGUUGGUAGGGUAAAAGCCUACCAAGGCGACGAUCCAUAGCUGGUCUGAGAGGAUGAUCAGCCACACUGGGACUGAGACACGGCCCAGACUCCUACGGGAGGCAGCAGUGGGGAAUAUUGGACAAUGGGCGAAAGCCUGAUCCAGCAAUGCCGCGUGAGUGAUGAAGGCCUUAGGGUUGUAAAGCUCUUUUACCCGGGAUGAUAAUGACAGUACCGGGAGAAUAAGCUCCGGCUAACUCCGUG